Molecule: transfer RNA, 76 nt
Filed under: Alphaproteobacteria bacterium
Lineage: Bacteria; Pseudomonadati; Pseudomonadota; Alphaproteobacteria
Also listed under: 2 other names
Description: tRNA-Ala
Rfam family: tRNA
About the family: Transfer RNA (tRNA) molecules are approximately 80 nucleotides in length. Their secondary structure includes four short double-helical elements and three loops (D, anti-codon, and T loops).
Source: RNAcentral
GGGGCUGUAGCUCAGUUGGGAGAGCGCUACGUUCGCAAUGUAGAGGUCAGGGGUUCGAUUCCCCUCAGCUCCACCA